UCCCCCUGCUGGCUGUGAGCUCAGGAAGACUUUGUCGUCUGUCAUCUCAGAAGGAUCCCUGCUGACCAGGACAAUGCCUGGAAUCCAACCUGCCACCCCAAUGCUGCAGCUGAGCUUCUCCUGGACACACAGAUGGGGCAGCUUCCAGGCCUGAGCCAGCCAGCAUCCAGAAGCCUAUGCCCAUCAUGUCUUUCCUUGCCUUUUUAUACAGUUUUAUCCACUUAUUGGUAUUCCUUAAAAAGUAUAUUUAAAGUUUUUCAAGUCUAUAAAAAGGGUAUUAAA
Long non-coding RNA from Pteropus alecto (black flying fox), 282 nucleotides. RefSeq lists it as uncharacterized. The transcript is spliced from 3 exons. Lineage: Eukaryota; Metazoa; Chordata; Mammalia; Chiroptera; Pteropodidae. The record is from RefSeq and is a predicted model, not a curated record.